RNAcentral lists this ribosomal RNA (1235 nucleotides) under metagenome. RNAcentral's name for it is "bacterial LSU rRNA". It matches the Rfam family "Bacterial large subunit ribosomal RNA", at positions 1564 to 2808 of the family's 2925-position model. The record is from RNAcentral.
UGAAUACGAGACGCUAAGGCGUUGAAGUAGUGUAUGUCAUACUUCCAAGAAAAGCUUGCACUGUCAUAGAUAAAAAACGCCUGUACCAUAACCGACACAGGUGCGUAGGUAGAGUAUACUAAGGGGCGCGAGAUAACUCUCUCUAAGGAACUCGGCAAAAUAACUCCGUAACUUCGGGAGAAGGAGUGCCUUAUUUAUAAGGCUGCAAUAACAAGAUCCAAGCAACUGUUUAUCAAAAACACAGGUCUCCGCUAAGUCGUAAGACGAUGUAUGGGGGCUGACGCCUGCCCAGUGCCAGAAGGUUAAAGAAGUUGGUUAGCAAUAGCGAAGCUGAUAACUGAAGCCCUGGUGAACGGCGGCCGUAACUAUAACGGUCCUAAGGUAGCGAAAUUCCUUGUCGGGUAAGUUCCGACCCGCACGAAAGGCGUAAUGAUUUGGAUACUGUCUCGGAGAGGGGCUCGGUGAAAUAGACUUGUCUGUGAAGAUGCGGACUACCUGCACCAGGACAGAAAGACCCUAUGAAGCUUUACUGUAACUUGAAAUUGAAAUUGGACUUUAUUCGCGCAGUAUAGGUGGGAGGCGUUGAUUGUAAUCUUGCGGGAUUAUUGGAGCCAUCAGUGAGAUACCACCCUUGUAAUGUUAGAUUUCUAACUUUGAAUCAUUAUCUGGUCAAAGAACAGUUUCAGGCGGGCAGUUUGACUGGGGCGGUCGCCUCCUAAACGGUAACGGAGGCGUACAAAGGUUUCCUCUGAACGGUUAGAAAUCGUAUCUAGAGUGUAAAGGCAUAAGGAAGCUUGACUGUGAGACCUACAAGUCGAGCAGGGACGAAAGUCGGUCUUAGUGAUCUGACGGUACUGAGUGGAAAGGCCGUCACUCAACGGAUAAAAGUUACUCUAAGGAUAACAGGCUGAUCUCCCCCAAGAGUUCACAUCGACGGGGAGGUUUGGCACCUCGAUGUCGGCUCAUCGCAUCCUGGGGCGGUAGUACGUCCCAAGGGUUGGGCUGUUCGCCCAUGAAAGCGGUACGCGAGCUGGGUUCAGAACGUCGUGAGACAGUUCGGUCCAUAUCCGGUGUAGGCGUUAGAAUAUUGAGAGGAGCCUUCUUUAGUACGAGAGGACCGAGAAGGACAUACCUCUGGUGUACCAGUUAUCGUGCCAACGGUAAACGCUGGGUAGCUAUGUAUGGAGUGGAUAACCGCUGAAAGCAUCUAAGUGGGAAGCCCACCUCAAGAUAAG